Long non-coding RNA from Mus musculus (house mouse), 1312 nucleotides. RefSeq annotates it as predicted gene, 40575. The record is from RefSeq and is a predicted model, not a curated record. Lineage: Eukaryota; Metazoa; Chordata; Mammalia; Rodentia; Muridae. The transcript has 3 exons.
UUGCCUGAUCAGUUGGUUGCCUGGGCCACCGAGGAUGCUCAGCGCUCUUUGAUGCUUCUGGGCCACUUGACCCAGGAGGAGAAAAAAACUACCACCAAUGUGAGGAAGAAAACGGAUCGUUUCAUCUCAUGUCAGGGAUGCUAAGAGAUGCAUUGAUCCAGUGUCACUGCUUCAGGAGAGUGCUUCGUAAAGGGCUAGGAACCUCAAUUGAGAAGAUGCUUCUGUCUGACUGGCCGGCAGUUAAGUCUGUGAGGCACCUUUUCUUGAUCAAUCAUUGAGGUGGAGGGCCCAGCCUACUGUGGGUGGUGCUGUCCCUGGGCUAAAAGAAGCUAAGUAAGCCAUGAGGAGCAAGCCAGCACGGUUUCUUCUUCAGCUCCUGUCUCCAGGUUCCUGCUCUGACUUCCUUUCACAAUGGACUGUUUUAUUACUUGAAACUGAAAUUAACCCGUUCCUCCCCAUGUUGCUUUUGGUCAUGGUGUUUAUCACAGCAAUAGAAGUUGAGAACUGAGAAUCUAAAUUGCACUUAACUGAUGUUCUAGGAAACAACAGAAGUAACAGGGUGGAUAUCUGAAGCUGUGAUGGCUGGAAGUCUCCCAAACUCAAGAGCAAGUUUGAUUCCUUAGAUUAAACAGAAGUGUGGGCAAGCCACUUCCGUGCUCUGUCAUAUAGUAGGACUACACGAUGCCAAAGGGAGGAAGAAGACGGGGAGACAGCUUGGAAGACGAGAGUCGCAGCGGCACAAGCGUUAUGACCCGAGUUCAAUUCCCGGAUCCAUGGAAACCGGAUGCAGUGCUCACAUCUGUAAUCCGAAGACUCCUACAGCGAGGUGGGAGGCAGAGACAAAACAGUCUCCCAAAAUUUCCUGAGCCAGAGGCCGGCAAGCCUAGAGUACAUAGUGUGGAAACAAGAGCCCUCCUUAGAAACACGAUGCAGAGAGAGAAUGAAUUGACCCCUGAAAAGCAAAGCUGCCCCUGACUUUCACGCGCAUGCUCUGGCACAGCACAACCAUACCACACACAUGAAUACCUUAACUAAUUUUUAAGACAACCUUACAAGAGGCGGGUACUUUUUUCCGCUAGUUUUUAUCAGCUUACAUUAUUAUUUGGUGGUGUUUUGAAUUCUACCCUAAGGUCAAAAGUUAUUCUCUAAAAGGGUCUAUAGCCCGGACUUUCAUGUUUAGGUCUGUGGUCCAUUAUAGUUUUUCUGUAUUGUGAAUGAGGGAGAGAUUAAGGUUUAUAUUAUCAUAAACAUCUUAAUACAAAUGUUGCAUUUCAUGUUUAUUUAUUUAUAAUAUGUAUAAAUAUUGUAUUUA